GGAAGCGUGCCCGAAAACAAAGGACCUCCUUGAUAGGGAGACCCAUAGAGGUUCAAAUCCUCUCGCCUCCU
Molecule: transfer RNA, 71 nt
Filed under: Synapturanus sp. MZUSP 159223
Lineage: Eukaryota; Metazoa; Chordata; Amphibia; Anura; Microhylidae
Description: tRNA-Ile
Rfam family: tRNA
About the family: Transfer RNA (tRNA) molecules are approximately 80 nucleotides in length. Their secondary structure includes four short double-helical elements and three loops (D, anti-codon, and T loops). Further hydrogen bonds mediate the characteristic L-shaped molecular structure. tRNAs have two regions of fundamental functional importance: the anti-codon, which is responsible for specific mRNA codon recognition, and the 3' end, to which the tRNAs corresponding amino acid is attached (by aminoacyl-tRNA synthetases). tRNAs cope with the degeneracy of the genetic code in two manners: having more than one tRNA (with a specific anti-codon) for a particular amino acid; and 'wobble' base-pairing, i.e. permitting non-standard base-pairing at the 3rd anti-codon position.
Source: RNAcentral